UACGUAGGGGGCAAGCGUUGUCCGGAAUCAUUGGGCGUAAAGCGCGUGUAGGCGGCUCGGUAAGUCCGCUCUGAAAGUCGGGGGCUCAACCCUCGGAUGCGGGUGGAUACUGUCGGGCUAGAGUGCGGAAGAGGCGAGUGGAAUUCCUGGUGUAGCGGUGAAAUGCGCAGAUAUCAGGAGGAACACCAAUUGCGAAGGCAGCUCGCUGGGACGUAACUGACGCUGAGACGCGAAAGCGUGGGGAGCAAACAGG
This 253-nucleotide ribosomal RNA is filed under the name uncultured bacterium. RNAcentral describes it as "partial 16S ribosomal RNA". It matches the Rfam family "Bacterial small subunit ribosomal RNA", at positions 524 to 776 of the family's 1533-position model. The record is from RNAcentral.